Small nuclear RNA from Nannospalax galili (Upper Galilee mountains blind mole rat), 107 nucleotides. The record is from Ensembl. Lineage: Eukaryota; Metazoa; Chordata; Mammalia; Rodentia; Spalacidae.
GUGCUCGCUUCAGCAGAACAUAUACUAAAAUUGGAACAAUAUAGAGAAGAUUAGCAUGGCCCCUGUGAAAGGAUGUCAUGCAAAUUCGUGAAUUAUUUCAUUUUUAA